RNAcentral lists this ribosomal RNA (253 nucleotides) under uncultured bacterium. Its description in RNAcentral is "partial 16S ribosomal RNA". It matches the Rfam family "Bacterial small subunit ribosomal RNA", at positions 524 to 776 of the family's 1533-position model. The record is from RNAcentral.
UACAGAGGUCCCAAGCGUUGUUCGGAUUCACUGGGCGUAAAGGGUGCGUAGGUGGCCUGGAAAGUUUGAUGUGAAAGCUCGGAGCUUAACUCCGAAAUGGCAUUGAAUACUACUGGGCUUGAGGGUCGGAGGGGAGACUGGAAUUCUCGGUGUAGCAGUGAAAUGCGUAGAUAUCGGGGGGAACACCAGUGGCGAAGGCGGCUUCCUGGGGUGUACCUGACGCUGAAGCGCGAAAGCUAGGGGAGCGAACGGG